Molecule: ribosomal RNA, 414 nt
Filed under: uncultured microorganism
Description: bacterial SSU rRNA
Rfam family: Archaeal small subunit ribosomal RNA
Source: RNAcentral
CAGCCGCCGCGGUAAUACCGGCGGCCCGAGUGGCGGUCACUAUUAUUGGGCUUAAAGCGUCCGUAGCCGGGUUGGGAAGUCCUCCGGGAAAUCUGGCCGCUUAACGGUCAGAAUGCCGGAGGAUACUCCCAGCCUAGGGAGCGGGAGAGGCCGAGGGGAUUCCCGGAGUAGGGGGGAAAUCCUAUAAUCCCGGGAGGACCACCGGUGGCGAAGGCGCUCGGCUGGAACGCGUCCGACGGUGAGGGACGAAGGCCAGGGGAGCAAACCGGAUUAGAUACCCGGGUAGUCCUGGCUGUAAACGAUGCGGACUUUGUGUCGGACAAGCUAUGAGCUUGUCCGGUGCCGGAGGGAAACCGUUAAGUCCGCCGCCUGGGGAGUACGGCCGCAAGGCUGAAACUUAAAGGAAUUGGCGGG